UUGGUUAAGCUAAUAAGAGCACACGGAGGAUGCCUAGGCGCCAGGAGCCGACGAAGGACGUGGCGAACAACGAAACUGCCUCGGGGAGCUGUAAGCAAGCUUUGAUCCGGGGGUGUCCGAAUGGGGAAACCCAGCUGUGGUAAUUCGCAGUUACUCGUAUCUGAAUACAUAGGAUACGCAGAGGCAGACCAGGGGAACUGAAACAUCUAAGUACCCUGAGGAAGAGAAAACAAUAGUGAUUCCGUCAGUAGCGGCGAGCGAACGCGGAACAGCCUAAACCAAGGGGCUUGCCCCUUGGGGUUGUGGGACGUCUCACAUGGAGUUACAAAGGAAUAUGGUAGGCGAAGAGGUCUGGAAAGGCCCGCGAUAGAGGUAAAAGCCCUGUAGCCUAAACUGUGUUCUCUCCGAGACGGAUCCCGAGUAGUGCGGGGCACGUGAAACCCCGUAUGAAUCCAGCAGGACCAUCUGCUAAGGCUAAAUACUACCUGGCGACCGAUAGUGAAACAGUACCGUGAGGGAAAGGUGAAAAGCACCCCGGAAGGGGAGUGAAAUAGAACCUGAAACCGUGUGCUUACAAAAAGUCAGAGCCCGAUCUAUGGGUGAUGGCGUGCCUUUUGUAGAAUGAACCGGCGAGUUACGUUUAACAUGCAAGGUUAAGGUGAGAAGCCGGAGCCGCAGCGAAAGCGAGUCUGAAUAGGGCGAUUUAGUAUGUGGACGUAGACCCGAAACCGUGUGAUCUACCCCUGUCCAGGGUGAAGGUGCGGUAACACGCACUGGAGGCCCGAACCCACGCAUGUUGAAAAAUGCGGGGAUGAGGUGGGGGUAGCGGAGAAAUUCCAAUCGAACUCGGAGAUAGCUGGUUCUCCCCGAAAUAGCUUUAGGGCUAGCCUCGGUGAAUGGAGUGGUGGAGGUAGAGCACUGAUUGGGUGCGGGGCCCGCAAGGGUUACCAAGCUCAGUCAAACUCCGAAUGCCAUUAACUUCUUGCCGGGAGUCAGACAGUGAGUGCUAAGAUCCAUUGUCAAAAGGGAAACAGCCCAGACCAUCAGCUAAGGUCCCCAAGUGUGUGUUAAGUGGGAAAGGAUGUGGAGUUGCACAGACAACCAGGAUGUUGGCUUAGAAGCAGCCACCAUUGAAAGAGUGCGUAAUAGCUCACUGGUCGAGUGACUCUGCGCCGAAAAUGUAACGGGGCUAAACACACCACCGAAGCUAUGGCUAGAUGCUUUGCAUCUGGGGUAGGGGAGCGUUGUAUGCAGGUUGAAGGUGUACCGUAAGGAGCGCUGGACAGCAUACAAGUGAGAAUGCCGGUAUGAGUAACGAAAAGAUCAGUGAGAAUCUGAUCCGCCGAAAGCCCAAGGUUUCCUGAGGAAGGCUCGUCCGCUCAGGGUAAGUCGGGACCUAAGGCGAGGCCGAAAGGCGUAGUCGAAGGACAACAGUUUGAAAUUACUGUACCACCGUAAUCCGCUAUGAGCGAUGGGGUGACGCAGGAGGGUAGUGACGCGGACUGAUGGAUGUGUCCGUCUAAGCAGUGAGGCUGAUGUGUAGGCAAAUCCGCACAUCACUAAGGCUGGGCUGUGAUGGGGAGCGAAAAUUGUAGUAGCGAAGGUCAUGAUCUCACACUGCCAAGAAAAGCCUCUAGCCAGGAGAAGGUGCCCGUACCGCAAACCGACACAGGUAGGCGAGAAGAGAAUUCUAAGGCGCGCGGAAGAACUCUCGUUAAGGAACUCGGCAAAAUGACCUCGUAACUUCGGGAGAAGAGGUGCCUCGGUAGGGUGAAUAGCCCGAGGGGGCCGCAGUGAAAAGGCCCAAGCGACUGUUUAGCAAAAACACAGGUCUGUGCGAAGCCGCAAGGCGAAGUAUACGGGCUGACGCCUGCCCGGUGCUGGAAGGUUAAGGGGAGUGGUUAGGGGUUAAACCCGAAGCUGUGAACCGAAGCCCCAGUAAACGGCGGCCGUAACUAUAACGGUCCUAAGGUAGCGAAAUUCCUUGUCAGGUAAAUUCUGACCCGCACGAAUGGCGUAACGACUUGGGCGCUGUCUCAACGAGAGAUCCGGUGAAAUUUUAAUACCUGUGAAGAUGCAGGUUACCCGCGACAAGACGGAAAGACCCCAUGGAGCUUUACUGCAGCUUGAUAUUGAAUUUGGGUACGAUCUGUACAGGAUAGGUGGGAGCCGGUGAGGCAGGAGCGCAAGCUUCUGCGGAGGCGCCGUUGGGAUACCACCCUGAUCGUAUCUAGGUUCUAACCUGGUGCCCUAAUCGGGUACGGGGACCGUGUCAGGCGGGCAGUUUGACUGGGGCGGUCGCCUCCUAAAGAGUAACGGAGGCGUUCAAAGGUUCCCUCAGAAUGGUUGGAAAUCAUUCGCAGAGUGCAAAGGCAUAAGGGAGCUUGACUGCGAGACCUACAAGUCGAGCAGGGACGAAAGUCGGACUUAGUGAUCCGGUGGUACCGCAUGGAAGGGCCAUCGCUCAACGGAUAAAAGCUACCCUGGGGAUAACAGGCUUAUCUCCCCCAAGAGUCCACAUCGACGGGGAGGUUUGGCACCUCGAUGUCGGCUCAUCGCAUCCUGGGGCUGAAGUAGGUCCCAAGGGUUGGGCUGUUCGCCCAUUAAAGCGGUACGCGAGCUGGGUUCAGAACGUCGUGAGACAGUUCGGUCCCUAUCUGUCGUGGGCGCAGGAAAUUUGAGAGGAGCUGUCCUUAGUACGAGAGGACCGGGAUGGACGUACCGCUGGUGCAUCAGUUGUUCCGCCAGGAGCAUGGCUGAGUAGCUACGUACGGACGGGAUAAGCGCUGAAAGCAUCUAAGCGUGAAGCCCCCCUCAAGAUGAGAUUUCCCAACUAGUAAGACCCCUUGAAGACGACGAGGUAGAUAGGUUGGAGGUGGAAGUGCAGCAAUGCAUGGAGCUGACCAAUACUAAUCGGUCGAGGGCUUAUCCAAAUU
RNAcentral lists this ribosomal RNA (2936 nucleotides) under Paenibacillus sp. FSL P4-0081. RNAcentral describes it as "bacterial LSU rRNA". It matches the Rfam family "Bacterial large subunit ribosomal RNA". The record is from RNAcentral. Lineage: Bacteria; Bacillati; Bacillota; Bacilli; Caryophanales; Paenibacillaceae.